This 301-nucleotide ribosomal RNA is filed under the name uncultured bacterium. RNAcentral describes it as "partial 16S ribosomal RNA". It matches the Rfam family "Bacterial small subunit ribosomal RNA", at positions 509 to 807 of the family's 1533-position model. The record is from RNAcentral.
CAGCAGCCGCGGUAAUACGUAGGUGGCAAGCGUUGUCCGGAAUUAUUGGGCGUAAAGGGCUCGCAGGCGGUUCCUUAAGUCUGAUGUGAAAGCCCCCGGCUCAACCGGGGAGGGUCAUUGGAAACUGGGAAACUUGAGUGCAGAAGAGGAGAGUGGAAUUCCACGUGUAGCGGUGAAAUGCGUAGAGAUGUGGAGGAACACCAGUGGCGAAGGCGACUCUCUGGUCUGUAACUGACGCUGAGGAGCGAAAGCGUGGGGAGCGAACAGGAUUAGAUACCCGUGUAGUCCCUGUCUCUUAUAC